Molecule: ribosomal RNA, 519 nt
Filed under: Enterococcus sp. CLE-2
Lineage: Bacteria; Bacillati; Bacillota; Bacilli; Lactobacillales; Enterococcaceae
Description: bacterial SSU rRNA
Rfam family: Bacterial small subunit ribosomal RNA
Source: RNAcentral
AAGUGACAGGUGAUGCAUGGUUGUCGGUCAAGCUCGUGUCGUGAAGAUGUUGGGUUAAGUCCCGCAACGAGGCGGCAACCCUUAUUGUUAGUUGCCAUCAUUUAAGUUGGGCACUCCUAGGCGAGGACUGCCGGUGACAAACCGGAGAGAAGGUGGGGAUAAACGUCAAAUCAUCAUGGCCCCUUAUGACCUGGGCUACACACGUAGGUACAAUGGGAAGUACAACGAGUCGCGAAGUCGCAAAGGUUAAGCUAAUCUCUUAAAGCUUCUACUCAGGUUCGGAUUGUAGGCUGCAACUCGCCUACAUGAAGCCGGAAUCGCUAGUAAUCGCGGAUCAGCACUGCCGCGGUGAAUACGUUCCCGGGCCUUGUACACACCGCCCGUCACACCACGAGAGUUUGUAACACCCGAAGUCGGUGAGGUAACCUUUUGGAGCCAACCGCCUAAGGUGGGAUAGAUGAUUGGGGUGAAGUCGUAACAAGGUAGCCGUAUCGGAAGGUGUGGAUGGAUCACCUCCUU